CCUAAGGUAGCGAAAUUCCUUGUCGGGUAAGUUCCGACCUGCACGAAUGGCGUAACGACUUCUCCGCUGUCUCAACCGCGAACUCGGUGAAAUUGCAGUACGAGUAAAGAUGCUCGUUUCGCGCAGAAGGACGGAAAGACCCCGGGACCUUUACUAUAGCUUGGUAUUGGUGUUCGCUUGGACUUGUGUAGGAUAGGUGGGAGACUGUGAAGCUGCCGCGCCAGCGGUGGUGGAGUCGUCGUUGAAAUACCAUUCUGGUUUAAGCGGUCACCUUAACCUUGGCCCGUGAUCCGGGUUGGGGACAGUGCCUGGUGGGUAGUUUAACUGGGGCGGUUGCCUCCUAAAAUGUAACGGAGGCGCUCAAAGGUUCCCUCAGCCUGGUUGGUAAUCAGGUGGCGAGUGCAAGUGUACAAGGGAGCUUGACUGUGAGACCGACGGGUCGAGCAGGUGCGAAAGCAGGAACUAGUGAUCCGGCCAUGGCACGUGGGUGCGUGGUCGCUCAACGGAUAAAAGGUACCCCGGGGAUAACAGGCUGAUCUUGCCCAAGAGUCCAUAUCGACGGCAUGGUUUGGCACCUCGAUGUCGGCUCGUCGCAUCCUGGGGCUGGAGUAGGUCCCAAGGGUUGGGCUGUUCGCCCAUUAAAGCGGUACGCGAGCUGGGUUCAGAACGUCGUGAGACAGUUCGGUCCCUAUCCUCUGUGCGCGCAGGAAAUUUGAGAAGGGCCGUCCCCAGUACGAGAGGACCGGGAUGGACGAACCUCUGGUGUGCCAGUUGUACCGCCAGGUGCAUGGCUGGUUGGCUACGUUCGGAAGGGAUAACCGCUGAAAGCAUCUAAGCGGGAAGCCUGCUUCAAGAUGAGGUUUCCACGCCCCCCCGUGGGGUGAGAGGCCCCCGCCAGACUAGCGGGUUGAUAGGCCAGAGGUGGAAGCACCGCGAGGUGCUCGUGAGCCGACUGGUACUAAUGGGCCAACACUAAACAAA
Molecule: ribosomal RNA, 981 nt
Filed under: human gut metagenome
Description: bacterial LSU rRNA
Rfam family: Bacterial large subunit ribosomal RNA
Source: RNAcentral